This 301-nucleotide ribosomal RNA is filed under the name uncultured bacterium. RNAcentral describes it as "partial 16S ribosomal RNA". It matches the Rfam family "Bacterial small subunit ribosomal RNA", at positions 509 to 807 of the family's 1533-position model. The record is from RNAcentral.
CAGCAGCCGCGGGAAUACGAAGGGGGCUAGCGUUGCUCGGAAUUACUGGGCGUAAAGGGCGCGUAGGCGGACAGUUCAGUCGGGGGUGAAAGCCCGGGGCUCAACCUCGGAAUUGCCUUCGAUACUGGCUGUCUUGAGUAUGAGAGAGGUGUGUGGAACUCCGAGUGUAGAGGUGAAAUUCGUAGAUAUUCGGAAGAACACCAGUGGCGAAGGCGACACACUGGCUCAUUACUGACGCUGAGGCGCGAAAGCGUGGGGAGCAACCAGGGUUAGAUACCCGCGUAGUCCCUGUCUCUUAUAC